CCUACGGGCGGCAGCAGUGGGGAAUAUUGCACAAUGGGCGCAAGCCUGAUGCAGCCAUGCCGCGUGUGUGAAGAAGGCCUUCGGGUUGUAAAGCACUUUCAGCGGGGAGGAAGGCGGUGAGGUUAAUAACCUCAUCGAUUGACGUUACCCGCAGAAGAAGCACCGGCUAACUCCGUGCCAGCAGCCGCGGUAAUACGGAGGGUGCAAGCGUUAAUCGGAAUUACUGGGCGUAAAGCGCACGCAGGCGGUCUGUCAAGUCGGAUGUGAAACCCCCGGGCUCAACCUGGGAACUGCAUUCGAAACUGGCAGGCUAGAGUCUUGUAGAGGGGGGUAGAAUUCCAGGUGUAGCGGUGAAAUGCGUAGAGAUCUGGAGGAAUACCAGUGGCGAAGGCGACUCUCUGGUCUGUAACUGACGCUGAGGAGCGAAAGCGUGGGGAGCGAACAGGAUUAGAUACCCCAGUAGUC
This 465-nucleotide ribosomal RNA is filed under the name uncultured Klebsiella sp. RNAcentral describes it as "bacterial SSU rRNA". It matches the Rfam family "Bacterial small subunit ribosomal RNA", at positions 338 to 795 of the family's 1533-position model. Lineage: Bacteria; Pseudomonadati; Pseudomonadota; Gammaproteobacteria; Enterobacterales; Enterobacteriaceae. The record is from RNAcentral.